UAGGGAAUCUUCCACAAUGGGCGCAAGCCUGAUGGAGCAACACCGCGUGAGUGAAGAAGGGUUUCGGCUCGUAAAACUCUGUUGUUAAAGAAGAACACGUAUGAGAGUAACUGUUCAUACGUUGACGGUAUUUAACCAGAAAGUCACGGCUAACUACGUGCCAC
Molecule: ribosomal RNA, 164 nt
Filed under: uncultured bacterium
Lineage: Bacteria
Description: partial 16S rRNA
Rfam family: Bacterial small subunit ribosomal RNA
Source: RNAcentral